RNAcentral lists this ribosomal RNA (253 nucleotides) under uncultured bacterium. RNAcentral describes it as "partial 16S ribosomal RNA". It matches the Rfam family "Bacterial small subunit ribosomal RNA", at positions 524 to 776 of the family's 1533-position model. The record is from RNAcentral.
UACGUAGGUGGCGAGCGUUGUCCGGAUUUAUUGGGCGUAAAGCGCCCGCAGGCGGCCUGGCAAGUUUCAGGUGAAAUCUCCCGGCUUAACUGGGAGGGGUCCUGGAAAACUGCCAGGCUUGAGGCAGGGAGAGGGAUGUGGAAUUCCCGGUGUAGUGGUGAAAUGCGUAGAUAUCGGGAGGAACACCAGUGGCGAAGGCGGCAUCCUGGCCCUGUCCUGACGCUCAGGGGCGAAAGCGUGGGGAGCAAACCGG